Molecule: ribosomal RNA, 253 nt
Filed under: uncultured bacterium
Lineage: Bacteria
Description: partial 16S ribosomal RNA
Rfam family: Bacterial small subunit ribosomal RNA
Source: RNAcentral
GACGGAGGGUGAAAGCGUUGCUCGGACUCACUGGGAGUAAAGGGCACGUAGGCGGCUUGGUAAGUAUGAUGUGAAAGCCCACGACUCAAUCGUGGAAGUGCAUUGGAUACUGCUUAGCUAGAGUGCAGGAGGGGUAAGCGGAAGUCCAGGUGUAGAGGUGAAAUUCGUAGAUAUCUGGAGGAACAAAGGUGGCGAAGGCGGCUUACUGGACUGUUACUGACGCUGAGGUGCGAAAGUGUGGGGAGCGAACAGG